UCUCCAUUUCGCGCACUCUCUCACCGGUCAGAGAGGCGAGAGAGCUCGGGAAAUGAAGAGA
This is a non-coding RNA of Pristionchus pacificus, 61 nucleotides long. NCBI's taxonomy places the organism in Eukaryota, Metazoa, Nematoda, Chromadorea, Rhabditida, Neodiplogasteridae. The record is from Rfam.